Molecule: ribosomal RNA, 460 nt
Filed under: uncultured bacterium
Lineage: Bacteria
Description: partial 16S ribosomal RNA
Rfam family: Bacterial small subunit ribosomal RNA
Source: RNAcentral
CCUACGGGGGGCAGCAGUGAGGAAUAUUGGUCAAUGGACGAGAGUCUGAACCAGCCAAGUAGCGUGAAGGAUGACGGCCCUAUGGGUUGUAAACUUCUUUUAUAUGGGAAUAAAAUGUUCCACGUGUGGGAUUUUGUAUGUACCAUAUGAAUAAGGAUCGGCUAACUCCGUGCCAGCAGCCGCGGUAAUACGGAGGAUCCGAGCGUUAUCCGGAUUUAUUGGGUUUAAAGGGAGCGUAGGUGGAUUGUUAAGUCAGUUGUGAAAGUUUGCGGCGCAACCGUAAAAUUGCAGUUGAAACUGGCAGUCUGGAGUGCAGUAGAGGUGGGCGGAAUUCGUGGUGUAGCGGUGAAAUGCGUAGAUAUCAAGAAGAACUCCGAUUGCGAAGGCAGCUCACUGGACUGCAACUGACACUGAGGCUCGAAAGUGUGGGUAUCAAACAGGAUUAGAUACCCUAGUAGUC